UGUGACUCAGUUCUAUGAAAUAGGAGAGAGAAGUCUGCUGAAGGUGCUCCCCUCUUAGAAGAGACACAAGGAAACAACAAUCCUUUCUUUUCCUCUGGGUCUUGGUGUGUGAGGAUGCCACGACUGGAGGGAGCCAGGCGAUAUACGGACAACGGCAGCAAAGAGUGACGGCAGCCCCCAGAAGACAGCUGGAUUCUCAUAUCUGCAUUCAGUCUACUGCAAUAUGAUGUUUUGGGUGGAAUUAUCGGAAGAAAAUCUGGCCUCACACGGACACGUAGUUGGAAGAGGGAGGGUCCCACAGACCCUCUGAAAUGGUCCCCAGGAUCCCAGGGCUCCUCUGACCACACACUGAGGACCGCUGUGCCGGAGCAGGGCACAUCUUAACAAAGGUGGGACAGUGCUGGGGAAUUAAAAUGUUUACUCUGAGAACUUGGCAUUAACGUGAAACAACUGUUCACAAUUCAGUCAUUUUCAUGAGACUACAACUGGAGGUUGGAAAAUUCUGUACCUGUCGAUUCUUCCCCAUAUCCAACACGGCAGAAAAGUAUAACUUAAAUACCUUAAAUAGUAAAAUGAAAUAAAGGGCUAAAUGUGUAAUUUAAAAUACAGUUGUUGGUAUUUCAUGGAGAAAGAAACCAUAUCCAAUCAUUGAUUUCUUCAUGGACAAACAUCUUUAUUAAUUUUCUGCGAGGG
RNAcentral lists this long non-coding RNA (693 nucleotides) under Equus caballus (horse). RNAcentral describes it as "lncRNA (ENSECAG00000046347.1)". The record is from RNAcentral. Lineage: Eukaryota; Metazoa; Chordata; Mammalia; Perissodactyla; Equidae.